This 425-nucleotide long non-coding RNA is filed under the name Ananas comosus (pineapple). RNAcentral describes it as "long non-coding RNA (ACOM_LNC003712)". The record is from RNAcentral. Lineage: Eukaryota; Viridiplantae; Streptophyta; Magnoliopsida; Poales; Bromeliaceae.
CUUUACAUUCUGUUUAUUAUCGUAGACAUUAUGGUUCAGUUGUGUUAUUACAUUUGAAUAGUCAGAAUUUCAUAAUAAAGGAUUUAUGGUUUUGGUAAACUUGAAAGGUUUUCUACCCCUCGUGGUAGUGUCUUUUCAAAAGAUAAAGAGUUCCCGUGUAGGGAACAAUUUUAAAAGGUUUUAUGUGGAUUUAUGUUUUAACAAAUGAAUGUGAAUCUGUGAUGAAUGGUGUAGGAAUGUACAUUGUUCAUUUAGCUGUGGUUGUAUUCCUGGAUAAAUACUUUAUACUUGUGCGACGCCAUGCAAAUACAGGGGAGACUCUGUCCGUGUGAACAGUGGGCUCUCUGUAUUUGUGGCGGAUCUGGCAUACCCUGGGGUCAGGUCUUUCAAAAAAAAAUUUUCGAUGUGUUUUUAUCAAAAAGGGA